RNAcentral lists this transfer RNA (74 nucleotides) under uncultured cyanobacterium. RNAcentral describes it as "tRNA-Ile". It matches the Rfam family "tRNA". From Rfam's summary of the family: Transfer RNA (tRNA) molecules are approximately 80 nucleotides in length. Their secondary structure includes four short double-helical elements and three loops (D, anti-codon, and T loops). The record is from RNAcentral. Lineage: Bacteria; Bacillati; Cyanobacteriota.
GGGCUAAUAGCUCAGGUGGUUAGAGCGCACCCCUGAUAAGGGUGAGGUCCCUGGUUCGAAUCCAGGAUGGCCCA